Molecule: transfer RNA, 74 nt
Filed under: uncultured marine virus
Description: tRNA-Asp
Rfam family: tRNA
About the family: Transfer RNA (tRNA) molecules are approximately 80 nucleotides in length.
Source: RNAcentral
GGUCUCUUAGUUUAAUGGUAGAACAUGUCACUGUCGAUGACGUAGUAGGGGUUCAAUUCCCCUAGAGACCGCCA